AACGAACGCUGGCGGCAUGCCUAACACAUGCAAGUCGAACGAGACCUUCGGGUCUAGUGGCGCACGGGUGCGUAACGCGUGGGAACCUGCCCUUAGGUUCGGAAUAACUCCCCGAAAGGGGUGCUAAUACCGGAUAAUGUCUUCGGACCAAAGAUUUAUCGCCUUUGGAUGGGCCCGCGUUGGAUUAGCUUGUUGGUAGGGUAAAAGCCUACCAAGGCGACGAUCCAUAGCUGGUCUGAGAGGAUGAUCAGCCACACUGGGACUGAGACACGGCCCAGACUCCUACGGGAGGCAGCAGUGGGGAAUAUUGGACAAUGGGCGGAAGCCUGAUCCAGCAAUGCCGCGUGAGUGAUGAAGGCCUUAGGGUUGUAAAGCUCUUUUACCCGGGAUGAUAAUGACAGUACCGGGAGAAUAAGCUCCGGCUAACUCCGUG
RNAcentral lists this ribosomal RNA (433 nucleotides) under uncultured bacterium. Its description in RNAcentral is "partial 16S ribosomal RNA". It matches the Rfam family "Bacterial small subunit ribosomal RNA", at positions 29 to 507 of the family's 1533-position model. The record is from RNAcentral.